Molecule: ribosomal RNA, 457 nt
Filed under: uncultured Flavobacterium sp.
Lineage: Bacteria; Pseudomonadati; Bacteroidota; Flavobacteriia; Flavobacteriales; Flavobacteriaceae
Description: bacterial SSU rRNA
Rfam family: Bacterial small subunit ribosomal RNA
Source: RNAcentral
CUGGCUCAGGAUGAACGCUAGCGGCAGGCUUAACACAUGCAAGUCGAGGGGUAUAGGAAGCUUGCUUCCUAGAGACCGGCGCACGGGUGCGUAACGCGUAUGCAAUCUACCUUUUACAGGGGGAUAGCCCAGAGAAAUUUGGAUUAAUACCCCAUGGUAUUAUAGGAUGGCAUCAUCCUAUGAUUAAAGUCACAACGGUAAAAGAUGAGCAUGCGUCCCAUUAGCUAGUUGGUAAGGUAACGGCUUACCAAGGCAACGAUGGGUAGGGGUCCUGAGAGGGAGAUCCCCCACACUGGUACUGAGACACGGACCAGACUCCUACGGGAGGCAGCAGUGAGGAAUAUUGGACAAUGGGCGCAAGCCUGAUCCAGCCAUGCCGCGUGCAGGAUGACGGUCCUAUGGAUUGUAAACUGCUUUUGUACAGGAAGAAACCCUCUUUCGUGAAAGAGAUUGACGG